AGCGAACGCUGGCGGCAGGCCUAACACAUGCAAGUCGAACGAACCUUUCGGGGUUAGUGGCGGACGGGUGAGUAACACGUGGGAACGUGCCUUUAGGUUCGGAAUCACUCAGGGAAACUUGUCCUAAUACCGAAUGUGCCCUUCGGGGGAAAGAUUUAUCGCCUUUAGAGCGGCCCGCGUCGGAUUAGCUAGUUGGUUGAGGUAAUGGCUCACCAAGGCGACGAUCAGUAGCUGGUCUGAGAGGAUGAUCAGCCACAUUGGGACUGAGACACGGCCCAAACUCCUACGGGAGGCAGCAGUGGGGAAUCUUGCGCAAUGGGCGAAAGCCUGACGCAGCCAUGCCGCGUGAAUGAUGAAGGUCUUAGGAUUGUAAAAUUCUUUCACCGGGGACGAUAAUGACGGUACCCGGAGAAGAAGCCCCGGCUAACUUCGUG
This 434-nucleotide ribosomal RNA is filed under the name uncultured bacterium. RNAcentral's name for it is "partial 16S ribosomal RNA". It matches the Rfam family "Bacterial small subunit ribosomal RNA", at positions 29 to 507 of the family's 1533-position model. The record is from RNAcentral.